CUUCUGUGAUGAAUCAAACUAGCUCACUAUGAUUUACAUAAUGAAAACAUUUGAACACCUGAGGGGG
Molecule: small nucleolar RNA, 67 nt
Organism: Phyllostomus discolor (pale spear-nosed bat)
Lineage: Eukaryota; Metazoa; Chordata; Mammalia; Chiroptera; Phyllostomidae
Source: RefSeq, a predicted model, not a curated record